AUUGAACGCUGGCGGAAUGCUUUACACAUGCAAGUCGAACGGUAGAGGGGGCAACCCCUCGAGAGUGGCGAACGGGUGAGUAAUAUAUCGGAACGUGCCCAGUCGUGGGGGAUAACGUAGCGAAAGUUACGCUAAUACCGCAUACGAUCUAAGGAUGAAAGCGGGGGAUCGCAAGACCUCGCGCGAUUGGAGCGGCCGAUAUCAGAUUAGGUAGUUGGUGGGGUAAAGGCUGACCAAGCCAACGAUCUGUAGCUGGUCUGAGAGGACGACCAGCCAGACUGGAACUGAGACACGGUCCAGACUCCUACGGGAGGCAGCAGUGGGGAAUUUUGGACAAUGGACGCAAGUCUGAUCCAGCCAUUCCGCGUGCAGGAUGAAGGCCCUCGGGUUGGAAACUGCUUUUGUACGGAACGAAAAGGUCUCUCUUAAUACGGGGGGCUCAUGACGGUACCGUAAGAAUAAGCACCGGCUAACUACGUGCCAGCCGCCGCAGUAA
RNAcentral lists this ribosomal RNA (496 nucleotides) under uncultured bacterium. RNAcentral describes it as "partial 16S ribosomal RNA". It matches the Rfam family "Bacterial small subunit ribosomal RNA", at positions 30 to 523 of the family's 1533-position model. The record is from RNAcentral.